UGUUAAAAAUUUCAUUUAUUUGUAUUGUUAAAGUUGGCAUGAUUGACGGAAUAACCAGAUAAUGUCGCAUGUACCUCAUGCUGAUGUACGGGGACUAGUUUUUAACGGUUGAAAUGAGUGAAAUUUUUAACG
Non-coding RNA from Gossypium raimondii (Peruvian cotton), 132 nucleotides. NCBI's taxonomy places the organism in Eukaryota, Viridiplantae, Streptophyta, Magnoliopsida, Malvales, Malvaceae. The record is from Rfam.